CUUCCCGGCUAGUCUCUGGACCGAAGACCGGAAGUGCUUCUGCACCUUACAGCUUGGAAGCAAGAGUUGGCAUUCUAAGUUGUGGAAGACCUGCGCGAGACAGUAAAAAAGGCAGCCUGAAAUAUGAGGCAUUUACAACCGAACUCAGCCAUCACAGGAAGCCCAAACAGCCUGUGACAAUCAAAGCCCAACUGGGAAGGAACUAUGAUCCCCAGCCCUCUGCCCUGGCAGAACUCCCAUUUGAGAAGUAACCAUAUUAACUUGCCAGCCUUAAGUGAGCCACCUUGAAAACACAUCCUUCAUCCCUAGCCCCACGGUAUAUGGAGCUCCUCGACUAGGGAUCAGGAUUGAGCCACAGUCUCGACCAAAACCACAGCUUCAGCAACACUGGAUCUUUAACCCACUCUACUGGGCUGGAGAUUGAACCCAUGUCCCAGCACUCCCAAGAUGCUGCUGAUCCCAUUGUGCCACAGUGAGAGCUUCUGUCAUCAAAGGAAUGGUCUUGUUGUAGGUCCUCUUUCUGUUCAACUACAUUCCUGUACUACUAUUACACUAUCCUAACUAUAAUAGCUUAAUAGUUUUAUAUACAUCUUGAUAUAAUAGUAUAUCCAUUCCCCUUUUAUUGUAAGAGUGUCUGCAAUUC
Long non-coding RNA from Phacochoerus africanus (Common warthog), 643 nucleotides. RefSeq lists it as uncharacterized. Lineage: Eukaryota; Metazoa; Chordata; Mammalia; Artiodactyla; Suidae. The record is from RefSeq and is a predicted model, not a curated record. The transcript is spliced from 3 exons.